AAAUUGAAGAGUUUGAUCAUGGCUCAGAUUGAACGCUGGCGGCAGGCCUAACACAUGCAAGUCGAACGGUAACAGGAAGCAGCUUGCUGCUUCGCUGACGAGUGGCGGACGGGUGAGUAAUGUCUGGGAAACUGCCUGAUGGAGGGGGAUAACUACUGGAAACGGUGGCUAAUACCGCAUAACGUCGCAAGACCAAAGAGGGGGACCUUCGGGCCUCUUGCCAUCAGAUGUGCCCAGAUGGGAUUAGCUUGUUGGUGAGGUAACGGCUCACCAAGGCGACGAUCCCUAGCUGGUCUGAGAGGAUGACCAGCCACACUGGAACUGAGACACGGUCCAGACUCCUACGGGAGGCAGCAGUGGGGAAUAUUGCACAAUGGGCGCAAGCCUGAUGCAGCCAUGCCGCGUGUAUGAAGAAGGCCUUCGGGUUGUAAAGUACUUUCAGCGGGGAGGAAGGUGUUGCGGUUAAUAACCGCAGCAAUUGACGUUACCCGCAGAAGAAGCACCGGCUAACUCCGUGCCAGCAGCCGCGGUAAUACGGAGGGUGCAAGCGUUAAUCGGAAUUACUGGGCGUAAAGCGCACGCAGGCGGUCUGUCAAGUCGGAUGUGAAAUCCCCGGGCUCAACCUGGGAACUGCAUUCGAAACUGGCAGGCUUGAGUCUUGUAGAGGGGGGUAGAAUUCCAGGUGUAGCGGUGAAAUGCGUAGAGAUCUGGAGGAAUACCGGUGGCGAAGGCGGCCCCCUGGACAAAGACUGACGCUCAGGUGCGAAAGCGUGGGGAGCAAACAGGAUUAGAUACCCUGGUAGUCCACGCCGUAAACGAUGUCUACUUGGAGGUUGUGCCCUUGAGGCGUGGCUUCCGGAGCUAACGCGUUAAGUAGACCGCCUGGGGAGUACGGCCGCAAGGUUAAAACUCAAAUGAAUUGACGGGGGCCCGCACAAGCGGUGGAGCAUGUGGUUUAAUUCGAUGCAACGCGAAGAACCUUACCUGGUCUUGACAUCCACGGAAGGUCUCAGAGAUGAGACUGUGCCUUCGGGAACCGUGAGACAGGUGCUGCAUGGCUGUCGUCAGCUCGUGUUGUGAAAUGUUGGGUUAAGUCCCGCAACGAGCGCAACCCUUAUCCUUUGUUGCCAGCGAUUAGGUCGGGAACUCAAAGGAGACUGCCAGUGAUAAACUGGAGGAAGGUGGGGAUGACGUCAAGUCAUCAUGGCCCUUACGACCAGGGCUACACACGUGCUACAAUGGCGCAUACAAAGAGAAGCGACCUCGCGAGAGCAAGCGGACCUCAUAAAGUGCGUCGUAGUCCGGAUUGGAGUCUGCAACUCGACUCCAUGAAGUCGGAAUCGCUAGUAAUCGUGGAUCAGAAUGCCACGGUGAAUACGUUCCCGGGCCUUGUACACACCGCCCGUCACACCAUGGGAGUGGGUUGCAAAAGAAGUAGGUAGCUUAACCUUCGGGAGGGCGCUUACCACUUUGUGAUUCAUGACUGGGGUGAAGUCGUAACAAGGUAACCGUAGGGGAACCUGCGGUUGGAUCACCUCCUUA
RNAcentral lists this ribosomal RNA (1542 nucleotides) under Salmonella enterica subsp. salamae. RNAcentral's name for it is "bacterial SSU rRNA". It matches the Rfam family "Bacterial small subunit ribosomal RNA". Lineage: Bacteria; Pseudomonadati; Pseudomonadota; Gammaproteobacteria; Enterobacterales; Enterobacteriaceae. The record is from RNAcentral.